Molecule: ribosomal RNA, 447 nt
Filed under: uncultured bacterium
Lineage: Bacteria
Description: bacterial SSU rRNA
Rfam family: Bacterial small subunit ribosomal RNA
Source: RNAcentral
ACCCAGACUCCUACGGGAGGCAGCAGUGGGGGAUAUUGCACAAUGGGGGGAACCCUGAUGCAGCGACGCCGCGUGGGUGAAGGAGCGUUUCGGCGCGUAAAGCCCUCUCGGCAGGGAAGAAGGAGGACGGUACCUGACUAAGAAGCCCCGGCUAACUACGUGCCAGCAGCCGCGGGAAUACGUAGGGGGCGAGCGUUAUCCGGAUUCACUGGGUGUAAAGGGAGCGUAGACGGCCAUGCAAGCCAGGGGUGAAAGCCCGGGGCCCAACCCCGGGACUGCCCUUGGAACUGCAUGGCUGGAGUGCGGGAGGGGCAGGCGGAAUUCCUGGUGUAGCGGUGAAAUGCGUAGAUAUCAGGAGGAACACCGGCGGCGAAGGCGGCCUGCUGGACCGUGACUGACGUUGAGGCUCGAGAGCGUGGGGAGCAAACAGGAUUAGAUACCCCCGUA